This 1185-nucleotide long non-coding RNA is filed under the name Scleropages formosus (Asian bonytongue). Its description in RNAcentral is "lncRNA (ENSSFOG00015026220.1)". The record is from RNAcentral. Lineage: Eukaryota; Metazoa; Chordata; Actinopteri; Osteoglossiformes; Osteoglossidae.
CAGAGGCAGUACGGUAGGUGUCUGCUGGUUGUAUCUGUGAGCCGAGUCCGCAGGGUCCUCACUCAGCUCCAUCUCCCACAGCCCCAGAAGCCCUCACGCCACGGUCAUGUGACUCCGAGCACGACUUCCUCUCCGCCCAGGAGGACUGCAUGUCGCAGGGGGAUGCUGAUUCCCUGUGCACUCCACUGAGCCAGAGGAAAACGCUCGCUGGAUGGGCUCUGCUGGGCAACAUGGAUGUUCAGUCUGAUAUGGUUCUCAAAGCACAGGUACCCACACAGACACAUAGAGCCACACACACUCACAUUCACACACUAACUCCACUGCCUGUUCAUUGUGUCCUGUUGAUGCUGGAGCAGUCUGACACGGAGAGCGUGGACAUGCAGAGCACCUGCUCGCUCCUCGUCCCCAUUGCCCUGUACGACUCCCUGAAGAAGGAGAGUGAGGGGCGACAGGAGCCCGCCUGCAAGGCCCAGGGUGCGGCUGAGACCUCCUGUGGGAAAGAGGACGAUGGGUGUGUCGACAUCCUGGAGCAGGAGCAAGGCGAAGGUACAGGGGGGGAGGGGCCACUCAAGGAGAGGCUGCAGGAGCUAGAGCAGGAGCUCACUAAGGCCUUGGAGGAGCUCGAAGAACUGAGGGGACGGGCACAAGUCGGAGUCAUGGACAAAGAGGCCCCAGUUGAGGAUGGGAACCAGGAGGUGCAGCAGAGAGGAGAGCACAUGCAGAAGCAGGAGGAGCAGGUGGAGGUGAUGACCACAGGGGAGAAGCCAGAUCAGGAGGGUGCUGGCAGGUCAGAUGCUGAUGCUGAUGGGGUGUGGAGCGAGAAAGCAGAGGAGGUGAUGACAGAGUUAGAGGGAAAUGUGGAGAACAAUCUACUGGCAGAGCAAGAGCAAGGUGGUGAAUGGGAUAGGGACCCUGCACCAAGCCUGAGGGCAGAGGAGAGUAUCCAGCAGGGGGUGCUGCAGGACAGGCUGGUGAGUGUGGAAAUGGAGCUGGAACCCUCUACUCCGGGGCUGCAGUUGGAACAGCUGGCCCAAGAGCGGGCGGAGGUGGCCGCGCGCCUCGCUGAGGCUCUCCGGGAGCUGAAGAGGAUGCGGCCUCUACCUGAGCUGAGUGGAGAGGAGGAGGAAGAAGACACUCAUCUCUGCUUCAGAUUAGGUACUACUUCAGAAUGUCAUUUUCCUCUAU